Equus asinus (donkey) is the source of this 3448-nucleotide long non-coding RNA. NCBI's taxonomy places the organism in Eukaryota, Metazoa, Chordata, Mammalia, Perissodactyla, Equidae. The record is from Ensembl.
CAUCUUUUUUAGUUUUCUAAGGUGGAAGUUUAGAUUAUCGACUUUAGAUCUGCCUUCUUUUCUAAUAUAUGCAUUCGGUGCUAUAAAUUCCUCUAUAAAAUCCUCUAAGCACUGCUCCCACUGCAUCCCACAAAUUUUGAUAUGUUGUAUUUUCAUUUAGUUCAAAAUACUUUUUAAUUUCUCUGGAGACUUCUUCUUUGACCCAUAUGUUAUUUAAAAGUGUAUUGUUUAAUCUCCAAAUAUUUGGGGACAUAUCUUCAGACUCAUUGAUUCUUUCCUCAUCAGUCUACUAAGGAACUCAUCAAAGUAUUCUUUAUUUCUGUUACAGUGGUUUUUUUUCUUGCAUUUCCUUUUUGUUCUUUCUCAGAGUUUCCCAUCUCUCUGUGUACAUUACCCGCCCAUUGUUGCAUAUCACCCAUUUUUCCCAUUAGAGCCCUUAGCUUUUUAAUCAUGGUUGUUUUAAUUCCUGAUCUGACAAUCCCCAAAUCUCUGCCAUAUCUGAGUUGGUUCUGAUGUGUGUUUAUCUGCUCAGUGCUUUUUCUUUAGCUUGCCUUGUGACGCUUGUCCAGAGCCUGCCAUGCUGCGUCAGUGACAGGAGCUGAGCUACAGGGACCCUUAGCAUUUUUGUGGGUUCUGUUUAUGUGGCGUCCUUUCUCCUCACGUUGCUCUGGCUGCUGCCUCCAGUGCGUGUCGGAAGGAAAUGGUGGGAGCAAUCAUUCUUACCUUGUUUCUUACCUUAAAAGGAAACUGUGUGAUGUUUGACUAUUAUGCAUUAAAUUAACUGUAAAUUUUUUUGAAUGCCCUUUAUCGGAUUGAGGUAAUUUCCCUCCGUUUAGCUGUGUUCUUCCAGUUUGGGUUCUUCUAGUUUGCUGGGGGAUUUUGGGGUUUGUUUUUAAAGAUCAUGAAUGUUUGUUGAAUGUUGUCAAAGCUUUCUAUACCUCUGUUGAGAUGAUCGUAUGAAUUAAUCUUUUGUUCUGUAAUCCUGUAAAUUACAAAAAUUGAUUUUUAAAAUUAAGUCCUUUUAUUUUGGAUUAAUUGAGGACACACUCAGUUGUAAACCGUAAUGCAGAGAGAUCACGUUCACCCUUUUCCUAGCUUCCCUCCAAUGGCAACAAUGCGGAAAACUGUGGACCACGUCACAGCCGGAACCCUGACACCAGUACAACCAAGUACAAAGCAUCACCCUCACCGGGUGCCCACUCCCAGCCACGCUCCGGGCCCUCGAGCAGCAGUUUUAACGUCUUGUCCAGCGUUUAUGGUUGUGAUCUUCGGGAGGACCGGCUCCGGGGAGGGGCUGCUCUGCACAAGCGGAACCUGCUCCUCUCUGUGGGUGUGUUACGGAAGUUUCCACAUUUCUUCACCUGUGGAAAGCUUCCCCCCAGUUUUUCCUUUAUCUAUCAUGUUUAUUCCCACGAAGAGUUUAAAAAGUGUGACACAGUUAAUUUUAUCCGCCCUUCUCUCAGUGCCUCUGGAUUUUGUAUCCAGAGGUGUCCAGGUCUGCUCAGAGCAGUCUUCUUCAUCCCAAGAUCAUAAAAAUGGGCACCUCUACUCUCCCCAUGACCUCUCUUUCCUUCUUCUUUCACAUUUAAGUCCUUGAUCCAUCUGAAAUGUAUUUAAUACAUGGAAUGAAGAAUAAAGAUUGGAGUUUGUUUUACCAAAUGGAUAAUUGUUUAUGCUAAUAUCACUUACUAAAUAAUUUAUCAUUUAAAUAUUUUAUUGUGGGUCCUUAAUGUUAACUCUUAAACGUCAGUACUGCUGUUGCUGUUUCACAGAUGAGGUAUCUGAGAUCAAGAUGAAUAAGUUAUUCAAGGUCACACAGCUAAAAACUUGAAAAGCCGGAAUCAGGUCAGGUUUGCAGGCUCCAUGCUCCACCCCCUCCCCUUCCCAACUGUAAACCACCUCAUCUAAUGUCAGAGCUCCAGGGGCCCGGGAGCUGCAUCUCCGGGAGAUGGCGAUUCGGGGAAGCUGCCAACAGCACGAGAGUUUGCGGGCUUAGAGUCCAGAGCUGCCGGAUGGGAGACGUUGUGUCCUUGUGGCACGGAGACAGCUAUCCUAAGCAUCUCAGCCCACACCAGGUUUGGCUUCACGUUGCACUAGCAAGAUUCUGUUGUCAAUUUCAAAGUCGUGUAUUGCUAUCUGAGAUGCACUGAUUAGAUUCAAAUGGGAAGACUUGGGAGAAAUAGGAAGAUUUCUGCUUAAGAGAGAGGAGAGAGGGAGUUGGCUGGUGGCUGGUACAUUCCUUCCCGUUAUCCCACACUUUUGUGGUGGGAAAAAGCUUGCGUUGCUGCGAGGUGAGAUGGAGGAAAAGCAGUUGGCUUGGCAGACAGACCAUGAGGGAUUCUCCACAACGGGGCCCAGUGGGAAAGGCCAGUUCCUCUCAUUACCCGUCACAUUCCACAGGGAAAUCAGCUGGAAAACGUGACAUCAUGUCCAGUCUCUGAGUCCUGAAUGAGUCUGUGGUUCCUGACCCAGGAGAAGAGCAUGUGCUGUUAAAUAGCAAAGUGCGGGUGUCAUAAUGCAGGGCUCUGGGACAUCCAGGGCCCUCUUCACACCGCUUCUCCUCGGAGCCCCUGGGAGCAAGUGACACAAGUGUGUAUGCGAAAACAUGCCAGAGUCUCCAGUGGACCCUGGACCUCAGGAGUCUGCAAUAUGGGAUUCACGGUGGAGCACGAUCUGUGAUAGUGGUGGAGACUGAGCACAGGGAGGGUGCACUGGAACGUUCCCUGGAGGUUAAGCCUUAGACGUCAGCAUCUGGCCCACGCUCAUUCCCAGGUGCAGAUGGAGCCAUGGAGGGUCUGGAGCUGUGGAGUGAAGGAUGCGGCUGUGCAGCCGGGUGCAGAGGGAGCCAUGGAAGGUCUGGAGCUGUGGAGUGAAGGAUGCGGCUGUGCAGCCGGGUGCAGAUGGAGCCAUGGAAGGUCUGGAGCUGUGGAGUGAAGGAUGCGGCUGUGCAGCCGGGUGCAGAUGGAGCCGUGGAAGGUCUGGAGCUGUGGAGUGAAGGAUGCGGCUGUGCAGCCGGGUGCAGAUGGAGCCGUGGAGGGUCUGGAGCUGUGGAGUGAAGGAUGCGGCUGUGCAGCCGGGUGCAGAUGGAGCCAUGGAAGGUCUGGAGCUGUGGAGUGAAGGAUGCAGCUGUGCAGCCAGGUGCAGAUGGGUUUGGGCUGGUGGGAGUGGAGGCUCAUUCGAGCUGAGAGGACAUUGAAAGAGGCUAUGGCCGAACUGCCCAUCCUCCAUUCGGUGAUGGAGACGUGGACUGUGUAAUGGGGACUGAGGGAAGGGCAGAAGCAGGUGCGCUGACACAGAAGUGACAACCCUGCAGGGCCCUCAACGCUCCCCAUUGCCUUCAGUGACCAGGCUCGAGCUCCGCCCUGCUGCACGUCUGCUCCCUGCCUCUCCCUCCAGCCUCACCUCUUUCCACCUCCACCCAUCUGUGUGCCUGAUGCUGAGCGUCUUG